ACAAACUUGGUCAUUUAGAGGAAGUAAAAGUCGUAACAAGGUUUCCGUAGGUGAACCUGCGGAAGGAUCAUUAUUGAAUAAACUUGGUUUAAACUGUUGCUGGCCCUGUGGGGUAUGUGCACGUUUAUUCCGACUUUAUAUUACUACCACCUGUGCACCUUUUGUAAAUCUGAAAUAACCCUCGGGCUUGACUCGGUUCAAAGGAUUGUCGUUUUAUAAUAUCGACUUCUCUUUACAUUUUUCAGCAUUUACGUUUCAAAUAUACCCAUGUGAAAAAAGUUUAGAAUGCUUUCUUAGGCUUUAAAAAUGCCUGUAAACAUAUAUACAACUUUCAACAACGGAUCUCUUGGCUCUCGCAUCGAUGAAGAACGCAGC
This 375-nucleotide unclassified non-coding RNA is filed under the name uncultured fungus. RNAcentral's name for it is "partial contains small subunit ribosomal RNA, internal transcribed spacer 1, and 5.8S ribosomal RNA". The stretch from base 1 to 73 matches the Rfam family "Eukaryotic small subunit ribosomal RNA", at positions 1759 to 1831 of the family's 1831-position model. Lineage: Eukaryota; Fungi. The record is from RNAcentral.